RNAcentral lists this transfer RNA (63 nucleotides) under Rubeospineus bicorniger. RNAcentral's name for it is "tRNA-Gly". The record is from RNAcentral. Lineage: Eukaryota; Metazoa; Arthropoda; Insecta; Hemiptera; Miridae.
ACUUUUUUAGUAUAUAAAAUUAUAUUUGACUUCCAAUCAAAAGAUCUUUAAUGAGAAAAAGUA